Molecule: long non-coding RNA, 444 nt
Organism: Hippocampus zosterae (dwarf seahorse)
Lineage: Eukaryota; Metazoa; Chordata; Actinopteri; Syngnathiformes; Syngnathidae
Exons: 2
Source: RefSeq, a predicted model, not a curated record
GUUCAGCAUUGUUCAAACUCAUUGGACGGUCACACAUUUUCCCAUUUGUUUGGGAGAUUUUGUUAUGGUUCAGUGAAAACAAGGAAGAACUUUUUGUCCAUAAUUCUGAAAGGUGAGUCUGGUGAAAAGAGAACACCGCUCAUCAUCAAAAGAACACCAUACUUCAGUGAAAUGCUGGAACUGGGGCCUUAGUUAAGGUGGAGGAGAAUUCUUAAGAGUAUGAUACGGCAGUGAGAGUUAGCACAUAAUUUCAUGCAAACUGUCAGGAAAAGUUUACCCGAACAGCUGAAAUUCAUCCGGGGUCAAUCGGAGGCAUAUUAUCAGGUGUCUGCCAUCUCUCAUUUAACAGUUUUCAUGGCGUGAUUGGCUCAUGUGAACACAGCCACAUCCCCACUUAUUUUUAAUUCCUCUCCCAAAGAAUAUUUUUUUACUCUUGUCAAACAA